Molecule: long non-coding RNA, 189 nt
Organism: Portunus trituberculatus (swimming crab)
Lineage: Eukaryota; Metazoa; Arthropoda; Malacostraca; Decapoda; Portunidae
Exons: 3
Source: RefSeq, a predicted model, not a curated record
AUACCCACACAGUCGUCCAAACAGUUGCUUUGCGCACCCUUAGCAGAGAGGAUGAGGGUGUCAGCGCUCCUCCUCGUCAGCCUCUUCUGCCUAGAUGGCCACGCUCUCAGAGGAUCGCCAGACAUCAGGAGUUAUCAGUUUGGAUAUCCAGGUUUAGUAACUACGGAUACCCUAGAAGAAGAAGAUGCA